AUCGUUCAAGAAGUUGACGCGUCUCAUCUUGCCCGUCCCGUCCGUUGUUUUUUGCACCCAUCGAUCAAGUAUUGUAUCGUGAUCGAUAACCGUUGGAACCAGAAAGGAGGAAAGCAACACCAACCUGAUCGGCAUACAAAAGAAAAUGUUAGCAGCAACAAGCUAGAGACCGUGACGCUACGCCGAAAGAAACCAAAAGAACCUGAUGCAAAACGGAAAGAGAAGAGCCAUACUAAGUACAAAAACGUACACCGGCAAUUAUUGGAGGGCCCAACGGCCAGAAGUCAUCAUUGGGACAAUUUUUCGAUUAUCAUGAUCCUUAUUUUUUUUAAAAAAUCAAUUACAAGUUCACGUACAC
Molecule: long non-coding RNA, 358 nt
Filed under: Setaria viridis
Lineage: Eukaryota; Viridiplantae; Streptophyta; Magnoliopsida; Poales; Poaceae
Description: long non-coding RNA (SVIR_LNC001672)
Source: RNAcentral